AUGGCCUGGUCUAGCUGUUGGUCAGAGUCUAAUGGUGUGAGGGUGCCAAAAGGAAUCGGCAAACUAAAAGAGCUGCAAAUACUAGAGGUUGUAGACAUCAGCCGAACUAGUUGCAAAGCAAUUAAAGAGCUAGGUGAGCUUGUGCAGCUGAGAAAACUGAGUGUGGUAACAAAAGGGGCCGCCAAGCAGAAAUGCAAGGUACUCUGUGAUGUCAUUCAGAAGCUCACUUGCCUCCACUCUCUUGAAGUGGAUGGUUCACUCGAGUGGCUGCAUGUUUUUUCCUCUCCUCCUCCCAUGUUGAGGAGUCUGAAGUUGGAUGGAUCCCUUGGAGAGGUUCCUGGCUGGGUUGGCAAUCUGAUACAUUUGGUCAAGCUUUAUUUAGGGGGCAGCGCAAUAAAGGAAGAAUGUAAAAUUUAUGGAAAUAAUAGGGCGACUUUCCAACCUCAUGGAGCUUCGUCUUGUAUACAGAUCUUAUAUUGGGGAGAAGUUAGCGUUCAAAACAGGGGCAUUCCCAAAUCCAAAGAAAUUUUACCUUAA
RNAcentral lists this ribosomal RNA (537 nucleotides) under Triticum aestivum (bread wheat). RNAcentral describes it as "partial small subunit ribosomal RNA". Lineage: Eukaryota; Viridiplantae; Streptophyta; Magnoliopsida; Poales; Poaceae. The record is from RNAcentral.